Molecule: long non-coding RNA, 448 nt
Organism: Vidua macroura (Pin-tailed whydah)
Lineage: Eukaryota; Metazoa; Chordata; Aves; Passeriformes; Viduidae
Exons: 3
Source: RefSeq, a predicted model, not a curated record
CUCAACAUUAUCCCAAGAUCUUCCUUUUGCUGCUGAUAUAUUUGCAGAAGCCCUUCUUGUUGUCCUUGAGGUAUUUUGCCAGUUGCAAUUCCAGGAUAUAACCUCAUGAAGUUCAACUGGGGAAAGUGCCAAGUCCUUCACCUGGGAUAGAACAGCCUGAGGCAGCAGGAGAUGCUGGGUGCCAUCCUGCUGAGAAGCAGCUUUGUGGAAAAGGCCUUGGAGCUGGACACCCAGUUGACCAUGAGCCAGCAAUGUGCCCUUGCUGGAAAGAAGGCCAUCCUGGGCUGCAUUAGACAAAGUGUUGCCAGCAGUUUGGGGAAGGUGAUCCUUUCCCUCUGCUCAGUACAGGUGUUACCUGGAUCAAGCUCCAGCAAUAAAAGGGAGCAGUAAAGACCUGCAGAACAGAGCUGCCCUAAGGCCCCUUCCAACUCAGCAUAUUCUGUGAUCA